This is a non-coding RNA of Agelaius phoeniceus (red-winged blackbird), 7356 nucleotides long. NCBI's taxonomy places the organism in Eukaryota, Metazoa, Chordata, Aves, Passeriformes, Icteridae. The record is from RefSeq and is a predicted model, not a curated record.
GCCUCGCGCCGCCGUUCCCGCUGGCGCGCGCGCUGGCUCUACCGCCGCCCGCCACCAUUGGCUGCCGGGGGUCAGGUGACCCCGUGUUAUUUCCUGUGUGUGUGUGAGGUGUGAGUGAGGGGAGGAGGAUGGAACCGGACGCCCCCGCGCCCCCGCCCGCCCCCCGGCCCCGCCGCCCCGGCUGCUGAGCCGCCCCGCCCCGCCCGCCGCGGCGGAGGGCGCCGGGCACGGCGGCGGGGGGGGGUCUCAGGAGGGCUUUCGAGCUACUGCUCUGCUGCUGAACAGCAUGCAGUCCUUUCGGGAGCAAAGUAGUUAUCACGGAAACCAGCAGAGCUACCCGCAGGAAGUGCACACUUCAUCCCGACUGGAAGAGUUCAGCCCCCGCCAGCAGGCCCAGAUGUUCCAGAGCUUUGGAGGAGGUGCUGGCAGUGGACGUCGUGGAGCAACAGGAGCCUCUACAGCAAUGCCUGGUGAGAGCUCUGGCCAUCAGAGCUACCAAGGUUUCAGAAAAGAAGCAGGAGAGUUUUACUAUAUGGCUGCCAACAAAGAUCCAGUGGUAUCAGGAGGGCAGCAGCCGCCUCAGCGCAGGCCUUCUGGACCAGUACAGAGCUAUGGGCCCCCUCAAGGGAGUAGCUUUGGGAGUCAGUAUGGGAGUGAGGGACAUGUGGGCCAGUUCCAAACACAGCACUCGACCCUUGGGGGUGUAUCCCACUAUCAACAGGAUUAUACUGGUCCUUUUUCUCCAGGGAGUGCCCAGUAUCAGCAGCAGGCUUCUAGCCAGCAGCAGCAGGUGCAGCAGCUGAGACAGCAGAUCUAUCAAUCUCAUCAGCCUUUACCCCAGGCUUCCAGCCAGUCUGCUUCUAGCACCUCACACUUGCAGCCAAUGCAGCGUCCAUCCACCCUGCCUUCCUCUGCUUCAGGCUACCAGUUACGAGUGGGUCAGUUCAGCCAACACUAUCAGCCACCUUCGUCAUCCUCCUCCUCCUCUUUCCCUUCCCCACAGCGUUUUGGCCAGUCAGGACAGAAUUAUGACGGAAGCUACAACGUGAAUUCUGGGUCGCAGUACGAAGGCCAUGCUGUGGGUUCCAAUGCACAGGCCUAUGGCACCCAGUCAAACUACAGCUUUCAAACUCAACCGAUGAAAAGCUUUGAGCAGUCUAAGCUGCCCCAAAGUGGGCAGCAGGGGCAGCAGCAACAGCACCCACCUCAACACGUAAUGCAGUAUUCAAAUGCUGCCACCAAACUCUCUCUUCAAAGUCAAGUGGGACAGUACAGCCAGACUGAAGUUCCUGUAAGGUCACCGAUGCAGUUCCACCAAAACUUCAGUCCAAUCUCUAAUCCAUCUCCUGCUGCAUCUGUGGUUCAGUCUCCAAGCUGCAGCUCUACCCCUUCUCCACUCAUGCCAGGCGGAGAAAAUCUCCAGUGUGGGCAAGGCAACAUGUCCAUGGGUUCUCGAAACCGAAUCCUGCAGAUGAUGCCUCAGCUUAGUCCUACACCAUCUAUGAUGCCAAGCCCCAAUGCUCAUGCGAGUGGAUUCAAGGGAUUUGGACUGGAAGGACUGCAGGAAAAAAGGCUCACAGAUCCAGGACUGAGCAGCCUGAGUGCUCUAAGUUCUCAAGUUGCCAAUCUGCCCAACACAGUCCAGCACAUGUUGCUCUCAGAUGCUUUGGCACCUCAGAAAAAAAGUUCCAAAAGAUCAUCCUCUUCCAAGAAGGCUGACAGUUGCACCAACUCAGAAGGCUCCUCCCAGGCAGAGGAGCAACUCAAGUCACCUAUGGCAGAGUCCCUGGAUGGUGGCUGUUCCAGUAGUUCAGAGGAUCAUGGGGAAAGGGUGAGACAGCUGAGUGGCCAGAGUACCAGCUCAGACACCACUUACAAAGGGGGUAAUUUAGAGAGACCCAACUCCUCACCAGCACAAGGUUCUCAGAAUGAGCCAUCAAAACUCAGCAGCAGUCCUGCAGCUAGGGAGGAUGUGGCCUCCCCUGAUGGGAAGGAAGCUGUGGUGGCUGUGGAAAAUGCCCCAAAAGUGAAUGAAAAGGCAGUUGGGGUGAUUGUCUCCCGGGAAGCCAUGGCAGGAAGAGUAGAAAAGUCAGGUGGACAAGAUAAACCUGCACAAGAUGAUGCUUCCACAGCCCCUCAGGCACCAGCUAGCACUAGUGGAGCAAAAGAAGCUGGGCAUGCAGGGACACAGCAAGAGACUCAAGGAGGAGGUAAAGGGAGCAAAAGUGGUGAUAACACUAACCAUAAUGGGGAGGGGAACAGCCAGCCUGGUCAUGCAGUUGUUGGGCCGAAUUUUCCUGCAAGAACAGAAUCUUCCAAGUCUCCUGGCAGUUUAAGAUACAGCUACAAGGAUAAUAUAGCACCUGGUAUACAGAGAAGUAUGGGUGGCUUUCCACAGUAUCCAUCUGGUCAAGAAAAGGGGGAUUUUCCAGGGCAUAGUGAGCGCAAAGGCCGUAAUGAGAAGUUUCCUAGUCUCCUCCAAGAGGUUUUACAGGGGUACCACCAUCAUCCAGACAGAAGGUAUUCUAGGAACGCGCAGGAGCAUUCUGGGAUGGCUGGGAGUUUGGAGGGAGCCAUGAGGCCCAAUGUUUUAAUUAGUCAAACCAAUGAAUUGACCAAUAGAGGCCUCUUAAACAAAAGCAUGGGGUCCCUCCUAGAGGGCCCUCACUGGGGUCCCUGGGAUAGGAAGUCUAGCAGUGCAGCUCCAGACAUGAAGCAGAUAAAUUUAGCUGAUUACCCUAUUGCUAGAAAGUUCGAUGUGGAGUCUCAGUCUGCUGCCCAUGAGGCAGGAGCACUCUCAGAGAGGAGAUCAGUGAUCUGUGACAUAUCCCCAUUAAGGCAACUUGUAAGAGAUCCUGGCCCUCACCCCAUAGGGCACAUGGGUCCUGAGGCCAGAAGCGGAAGGAGUGAACGUCUUGCCCCUGGCUUGAGCCAGUCAGUAAUACUCCCUGGUGGUUUAGUAUCCAUGGAAACAAAGCUGAAAGCUCACAGUGGGCAAAUAAAGGAAGAAGAUUUUGAACAGUCAAAGAGCUCAGCUAGUCUCAACAAUAAAAAAACAGGAGACCAUUGUCAUCCUGCUGGCAUCAAACAUGAAUCUUUCCGAGGCAAUGCCAGCCCUGGAGCUGCAGUCUCCGAUGCUGCUCCAGACUACAUGCCCCAGCAGGACAACAGAUCGACACAGAUGAGACGAGGACCUGGCAGAACUGGAAGGGGUAAAUCACCCUCUCAAUAUCAGGAUCUUGCUGAUAAGCUGAAAAUGUCACCAGGCAGAAGCAGAGGCCCAGGGACAGAUCUGCAUCACAUGAACCCACACAUGACACUACCUGAAAGAGUUAGCAGGGGUUCCUUGCAUUCUGUCUACCCUCAGAAUUCGGAAGGCCCAUCUCUGGCUUCAGCAUAUCACACGAAUGCUAGGCCUCAUGCUUUUGGUGACCCCAACCAGAGUUUGAAUUCCCAGUAUCAUUACAAGAGACAGAUAUACCAGCAACAGCAAGAAGAAUACAAAGAUUGGGCAAGCAGCGCUGCUCAGGGUGUGAUUGCUGCAGCUCAGCACAGGCAGGAAGGAGCAAGGAAGAGCCCAAGACAACAGCAGUUUCUGGAAAGAGUAAGGAGUCCCUUAAAAAAUGACAAGGACGGAAUGAUGUACCUUCAAGGUAGCUCUUACCAUGAUACUGGAAGCCAGGAAGCUGGGCGCUGUGUCAUGGGGAGUGACAGCACUCAGAGCAAAUGCACCGAACUGAAACAUGGCAGCCAGAAGUUGCAGCAUCAUGAAUCUGGUUGGGACCUCUCUCGGCAAACUUCUCCUGCCAAAAGCAGCGGCCCUCUUGGAGCAGCCAACCAAAAAAGAUUUUGCCCUCAAGAAAGUGAUGGGCAUCGACGAGAGGAAUCUGCAGAUUUGCCCAAGCCUAGUAAUGCUAUGCUUAGGCUCCCUGGCCAGGAGGACCAGUCUCCACAAAACCCGUUAAUUAUGAGGAGGAGGGUCCGUUCCUUCAUCUCUCCGAUCCCUACCAAAAGGCAGCCACAUGAUAUGAAGAACAGUGGCAGUGAUGAUAAAGGGCGACUGAUGACUUCAGCAAAAGAAGGAGCUGAUAAAACAUACAACUCCUAUGCCCAUUCAUCUCAAAGCCAAGAUGCUGGCAAGUCAGUUGCAAAGGGAGAUUCCUUCAAGGACCUGCCAAGUCCUGAUAAUAGGAAUUGUCCUGCUGUUUCCCUCACAAGCCCGGCAAAGACCAAAAUAUUGCCCCCAAGAAAGGGGCGCGGAUUAAAACUGGAAGCUAUUGUUCAGAAAAUUACAUCUCCCAAUAUUAGGAGAAGUGUUUCUACCAAUAGUGCUGAAACUGGUCCAGAUACUGUCACUCUUGAUGACAUCCUGUCCCUCAAGAGUGGGCCUGAAGGAGGAAAUGUGGCUGGACAUGGACCAGAGGCUGAGAAGAGAAAAGGAGAGAUACCAGAUCAAGUGGGGCCAGCAAGCCAGGAUACAAGUGGUGAGAAAACUGUUCCGAGAUCUUCAGAAGAGUGGCAAAGCAGUGAGGAUGAUAAAAACAAAAAAGAGGUCCCUGAAACUGCCAGUAUUGGCAAAGAGGGAGCAGGAUCCAGUGCAGCACCACCACCUUCUCAGAAGUCAGGUGGUCAGGGAAGGUCUGAUGGAUCUGUAAGUGGAGCUGGAAAUCUGACCUUUUCCGACUCAAAAACAAUUUCCCCUUCCAGUGCGUUCAUUUCAGAACCAAACCCAAAGUCUGAAGAAAAAGAUGGAGAUGUGACAAACAUUUCACCCAAGCCAGAUGGUUUCCCUCCAAAGGGAUAUUUCCCCUCUGGAAAGAAAAAAGGGAGGCCAAUUGGGAGUGUGAACAAGCAGAAGAAGCAGCAGCAACAGCAGCAGCUGCCUGCGCCCCCGCCUCCCCCGCCAGCGCCAUCACAGCCUGCAGAAGGGGUGGGUGCUGGUGAGCCAAAGCCCAAGAGGCAAAGGAGGGAGAGACGAAAACCUGCAGCACAGCCACGGAAACGGAAGCCUAGACGGGCUGCUCCAAUCGUGGAGCCUCAAGAACCAGAGAUCAAGCUUAAAUACGCUACCCAGUCUGUAGAUAAAACCGACUCCAAGAAUAAGUCCUUUUUCCCUUAUAUUCACGUGGUAAACAAGUGUGAAUUAGGCGCUGUGUGCACAAUCAUAAACGCGGAGGAAGAGGAGCAGAACAAAUUGGUGAGGGGUCGGAAAGGACAGAGGUCUUCAACACCCCCUCCCAGCAAUGCAGAGAGCAAAGUGCUGCCCACCUCAACUUUCAUGCUGCAAGGCCCUGUAGUAACGGAGUCUUCUGUCUUGGGGCAUCUGGUUUGCUGCCUGUGUGGCAAAUGGGCCAGCUAUCGUAACAUGGGUGACCUCUUUGGUCCUUUCUACCCCCAGGAUUACGCAGCUACCUUGCCCAAGAAUCCACCUCCAAAGAGGGCCACAGAAAUGCAGAGCAAGGUCAAGGUACGGCACAAAAGUGCUUCUAAUGGUUCCAAGACAGAUACUGAAGAGGAGGAGGAACAGCAACAACAGAAGGAACAAAGAAGCCUGGCUGCUCAUCCCCGCUUUAAGAGGCGGCACCGCUCUGAGGACUGUAGCGGAGCCUCUCGGUCACUUUCAAGGGGAGCUUCUUGUAAAAAAGCAUCCACUGAUGGUGGCAGUGGUGGUGAAAAGACUCCUUUGGACUCAAAACCGUCUAUGCCCACUUCAGAAGGUGGCACUGAGCUGGAGUUACAAAUUCCUGAACUACCUCUUGACAGCAAUGAAUUUUGGGUCCAUGAGGGUUGUAUUCUCUGGGCCAAUGGGAUCUACCUGGUCUGUGGCAGGCUCUAUGGGCUGCAGGAAGCUGUGGAGAUUGCAAGAGAGAUGAAAUGUUCCCAUUGCCAGGAACCGGGAGCCACCUUAGGCUGCUACAACAAAGGCUGCUCCUUCCGAUACCAUUACCCAUGUGCCAUCGAUGCAGAUUGUUUACUAAACGAAGAGAAUUUCUCAGUGAGGUGCCCCAAGCACAAGGCAUGGGCAAGCUGCAGUUGUACAGGAGCCAGAGACAGCAACACGGCCCUGACACUCCCUCAGCGAGGGCUCGCCGUUGCGCGGUAAUGAAACCACAGAGGGCAGCUGAGCUCUCUGGGAACCUCCCCCUUUCCUCCUCAGCUGCUGCUCCCUGGCCUUGCCCGUCUGCAUUUUGUGUGUGCUUGCCUGACUCUUCACUCACUCGCAGCCUGGCACCUGGGUGGGGGAUAUCUGCAGCCAAGAGUUGGGCUUGCUGGGAUGUAAUCUAAUUGGUGUGCCGAUGAUCAAAGCAGUAUUGACUUCUCCAUCUCACUUAGUUAGGGUUCCUGGAGUUUAAUUGCCAGCUAUGAACAAACAUGGGUGUUACUUUGCUCCCAGGCACACCUCUAAUUCCGUUAGCUGCUUUCCAUAUGCAUCACUUCUGGUGUAAGUUCUUUUCCCAAGCUCACUAGCUGGUAGGAGGGGAUUUAUCUAAAUCAUAUCUAACCUUACUAAAUAAAUAAAUUGCUGUUGGGCUCACUUGUGGUAUGGGAUAAGGGAAGGAAGGAAUACAUUAUUUCAAGCUUUGCUUUCUCUCUAUGCAGAAUAAGAAUGAGAACCCUAACUUAGAGAAAUUAAAUUAUAACUUUGUAACUUCUCUUUUGAGCUGAGCCUCCACCAACUUAGCAAACUCCUGAAGUUCAUUUUCUCACCUCGGAGAAUUUCUGGACAGGGAGAACAUGUGCCAAGCACUUGGACGUUUCCACAUUUGUCUUGAAAGACAUCACAAGCUUAGUCCUUCUAUGAACUGUCUCUGUAAUAUGAAAAUUAGAUCCAAAAAGCAGCAGAAAGAAAUAUCACCUGCCCUUCGAUUAGUUAAACCACACACAGCUUUACCUUUAGCUGGUGAAAUCUGGCAAUUUCCCAGGAUUGGUUCCUGGACUCCUGUAAUUUUGACACUAGUUGCACUAUCUGCUAUAUAUUCACUGGAAACCACCACUGGAUGGCCCAUAGGGAAACAUUUGGAUGCAGUCCUUGAUGGCAUCCCAGGAGCUGUCACCAUGUUGGGACAUGCUUGGCCCCUGUCUUUCCCAAACUCACGGUCAGUGUGAGGAGCGGACAUGAGGUUAGGCUGUUGAGAUAAAAAGCGGUGGACAUUCGUGACUGAAUGGAAUCUCUCCCACUGUGCAGCCAUGCCCCCUCUCGACGUGCCUGCCAAUGCCAGCACUUCCUUCAUAAAUUCUUACAUCACACUCAAGACUGAUGACAUCACAGAAUCUGACCAAGGAGUCUGAACCAGCUGUUUCCAUGGACACAAUCUCCAUAGUGACAGUGGGGAGGGGAGGGGGAAAAAGGAAACA